GUCCACGCCGUAACUAUGGAUGCUAGCCGUCGGCAAGCUUGCUUGUCGGUGGCGCAGCUAACGCAUUAAGCAUCCCGCCUGGGAGUACGGCCGCAAGGUUAAACUCAAGGAAUUGACGGGGCCCCGCACAAGCGGUGGAGCAUGUGGUUUAAUUCGACGCAACGCGAAGAACCUUACCAGCUCUUGACAUGUCCGGUCGGUUUCCAGAGAUGGGAUCCUCCUAGCAAUAGGUCGGAACACAGGUGCUGCAUGGCUGUCGU
Molecule: ribosomal RNA, 260 nt
Filed under: uncultured bacterium
Lineage: Bacteria
Description: partial 16S ribosomal RNA
Rfam family: Bacterial small subunit ribosomal RNA
Source: RNAcentral